Molecule: ribosomal RNA, 471 nt
Filed under: uncultured bacterium
Lineage: Bacteria
Description: partial 16S ribosomal RNA
Rfam family: Bacterial small subunit ribosomal RNA
Source: RNAcentral
GACGAACGCUGGCGGCGUGCUUAACACAUGCAAGUCGAACGCUGAAGCUUGGUGCUUGCACUGGGUGGAUGAGUGGCGAACGGGUGAGUAAUACGUGAGUAACCUGCCCUUGACUCUGGGAUAAGCCUGGGAAACUGGGUCUAAUACUGGAUACGACAUGUCACCGCAUGGUGGUGUGUGGAAAGGGUUUUACUGUUUUGGAUGGGCUCACGGCCUAUCAGCUUGUUGGUGGGGUAAUGGCUCACCAAGGCGACGACGGGUAGCCGGCCUGAGAGGGUGACCGGCCACACUGGGACUGAGACACGGCCCAGACUCCUACGGGAGGCAGCAGUGGGGAAUAUUGCACAAUGGGCGGAAGCCUGAUGCAGCGACGCCGCGUGAGGGAUGACGGCCUUCGGGUUGUAAACCUCUUUCAGCACGGAAGAAGCGAAAGUGACGGUACGUGCAGAAGAAGCGCCGGCUAACUACGUG